RNAcentral lists this small RNA (613 nucleotides) under Pongo abelii (Sumatran orangutan). RNAcentral describes it as "processed transcript". The record is from RNAcentral. Lineage: Eukaryota; Metazoa; Chordata; Mammalia; Primates; Hominidae.
GCUACCGAGACAGAGAACUCACAUGGGUGCCCACCCAAGCAGGUCUGUGACAGAGAGAAUGACGCCUGCAGUGCUUUCCAAGUGCCAUUGCCAGUCAUGUGACAGCAGAGUGUCCCAGCAAGUGUCUGGUGGAGGUCCUGAUUGCCAUAAGCAGCCUCACGUCUCCGCUGCUGUUCACAGCCUCUGGAUAUCUGUCAUUCAGCAUCAUGAGAAUCGUGGAGAUGUUUAAAGAUUACCCGCCAGCCAUAAAACCAUCCUACGACGUGCUCCUGCUGCUGCUGCUGCUGGUGCUUCUGCUGCAGGCCGGCCUCAACACGGGCACCGCCAUCCAGUGUGUGCGCUUCAAGGUCAGCGCAAGGCUGCAGGGCUCAUCCUGGGACACCCAGAGCGGCCCGCAGGAGCGCCUGGCUGGGGAGGUGGCCAGGAGCCCCCUGAAGGAGUUUGACAAGGAGAAAGCCUGGAGAGCCGUCGUGGUGCAAAUGGCCCAGUGACCACCAGACGCAGAAACCGGGUGGCAGCUCCCAGCCUGGCCCCAAGCACGGAAACGCACAACUCCUAAUCGCCCCGAGCUACUGCUUCUAACACCUCUUUUCCCUUGUGUGAGGGCAAACCA